Molecule: ribosomal RNA, 488 nt
Filed under: uncultured bacterium
Lineage: Bacteria
Description: partial 16S ribosomal RNA
Rfam family: Bacterial small subunit ribosomal RNA
Source: RNAcentral
GAUGAACGCUAGCUACAGGCUUAACACAUGCAAGUCGAGGGGCAGCAUGAUUGAAGCUUGCUUCAAUCGAUGGCGACCGGCGCACGGGUGAGUAACACGUAUCCAACCUGCCGAUAACUCGGGGAUAGCCUUUCGAAAGAAAGAUUAAUACCCGAUAGUAUAGUAUUUCCGCAUGGUUUCACUAUUAAAGAACUUCGGUUAUCGAUGGGGAUGCGUUCCAUUAGAUAGUUGGCGGGGUAACGGCCCACCAAGUCAACGAUGGAUAGGGGUUCUGAGAGGAAGGUCCCCCACAUUGGAACUGAGACACGGUCCAAAAUCCUACGGGAGGCAGCAGUGGGGAAUAUUGGUCAAUGGACGAGAGUCUGAACCAGCCAAGUAGGGUAAAGGAUGACGGCCCUAUGGGUUGUAACCUUCUUUAUACGGGAAUAAAGUGGAGUAUGCAUACUCCUUUGUAUGUACCGUAUGAAUAAGGAUCGGCUAACUCCGUG